AAAAAACUGAUUUCCCUGGCGUCUUCCAGCUCCACAGGUCUGUGUUUCUAUAAACUAACAUUGGAGAAUUUCCUUUAAGUAUGAAAGAUCAAAAAUAGCAAUGUCGAGAGAAUCAAAUGAGAUCAUGAUUUUAAAAUAUUUUGUUAGUUGUAAUGUGUUUUAGAAAAGAGAAGGGAAAUGAUUUUAUGCUGCCAUUUGUCAUUAUUAUCAGGUCCUCUUGCCUACCCACUUCCUAUGAUGGAGAAAGAGCAGUUCACUCUCUGGGACAGGGGUAAGGAAAGCUCAUGAGGGCAAUUUUUCUGUUACCCCAUGAAAUAAAUGGCAGAAAAUUUCACAAGUCCAAUUGCUACACUACAGUAUCAAAAAACAAAUUAGUUAACCUAAUACCUUAAGCACUUCGAAUUUCUACUUAUAAAUCCCCCAAAUUGCAAAAUCACACCUCACUUUCAGUAAGACCUCAUGGAAAGGAAAGGAUAAUUAAUUAUGCUAUCAUGGGGCUCACUAUAACUUACCCCAAGCAUUUAUACUGUUGCCCGUCACAUUAUGGGUGGUAUAGAGAUUACUUUAGCCAUUGAUAGUAUUAAUGCAUAAUCUCAUCGAUUGCCUUGUAAACUAUCUCAAGACAAAGCCUGGAAUAAGGAAGAUGACACUCAUGGCUUCUAGGAACAGGAGAGCCAAAGAGGGUUGUCUAGUCCUUAUGUACAGGAGCUGUGAGCCCUUGUGAGAAGGCAUGGUCACCGUGUUUUCCUCCUGGGUAAGCACCAGCUAAUCCACCUCACUCAGCCACCUGGUUGGUGCUGCUCCCACUCCCUUCUGCUUGUCUCCACCUGGGAGAGAUACUGGGCACAGGGGGAGCCAAGGGGUGGUCCUAUGGUGGAUGCAGCUGCUCCCAGGGGAGUGUCUGUGUUCAUCUAGCUCAGCAGGAACAUCAACUCAGAGGGCACUGGCAGUUUAGGAGUUUGGGCCACUUCCAUGUGUGUGGCCCUGCACUAGGUGGUCCCUAUACCAGGACGAUCCUGCCACUUCCAAUGGCAAGCAGGCAUCCCUCAAGACAGCCCUGCUCGGUUUCAUUCACAGGGCAGUCUGGGAAGCAGAACUAGAGAAAUGAAUAAGAGACCAGUGUGGCCAGAGGCUGGGGACAGGGAGGGGACUGACACUAAGGGGCACAAGGGAACUUCUGGUACUGAUUGAUGGGAACUGUUAUAGGCUCAAGUUUGUGUCCCCACAAGUUCAUAUGCGAAGCCCUAAUCUCUAGUACCUCUGAAUACGGCUGUAUUUGGAGAUAGGGCCUACAAAGACGCAAUCACGUUAAUCUGAGGCGUUUAGCUGGGGCCUAAUCCAAUAUGGCAGAUUCCAUAGAAUCUGAGAAAAUGAAAUUUGUUUCUCCAGGAAGAUACGAGCUGAUGUCCAUGCACAGAGGAAAAGUCAGAACAAACCCAAACCAAACCUGCUGACAUGUUGAUCCUAGACUUCUAGCCUCCAGAAUUAUGGUAAAGUAAAUUUUUGUUGUAUAAGCUGCACUGUCUGUGGUAUUUUUGUUAUGGCAGCCUUAGCAAACUAAUAUAGGAAAUUUUUAUAUUUGGUGAUUACAUAAUUGUUUAUGUUUGUCAAGAUUCAUAGAAUUAUACAUCUACAAGGUUGACUUUUUUGUUAUUGUUGUUACUGGGGUUAAACCCAGGGUCUUUUACCACUUAGCUACAUCCCCAAGCCCUUUUUAAACUUUUUUAUUUUGAGACAGAGUAUCACUAAGUUACUCAGGGACUCACUAAAUGCUGAGGCUGGUCGAAAACUUGUGAUCCUCCUGCCUCAGGCUCCCAAAUCGAUAGGAUUAUAGUCAUGCCCCACCAUGCCCAGCUCAAAGGUUGAAUUUUGC
RNAcentral lists this long non-coding RNA (1873 nucleotides) under Marmota monax (woodchuck). The record is from RNAcentral. Lineage: Eukaryota; Metazoa; Chordata; Mammalia; Rodentia; Sciuridae.